This 490-nucleotide ribosomal RNA is filed under the name uncultured bacterium. RNAcentral's name for it is "partial 16S ribosomal RNA". It matches the Rfam family "Bacterial small subunit ribosomal RNA", at positions 30 to 507 of the family's 1533-position model. The record is from RNAcentral.
AUUGAACGCUGGCGGCAGGCCUAACACAUGCAAGUCGAAUGGUAACAGGAAACUGCUUGCUGUUUCGCUGACGAGUGGCGGACGGGUGAGUAAUGUCUGGGAAACUUCCUGCUGGAGGGGGAUAACUACUGGAAACGGUAGCUAAUACCGCAUAACGUCUCCAGACCAAAGAGGGGGACCUUCGGGCCUCUUGCCAUCAUAUGUUCCCAGCUGGGAUUAGCUAGUAGGUGGGGUAACGUCUCACCUAGGCGACGAUCCCUAGCUGGUCUGAGAGGAUGACCAGCCACACUGGAACUGAGACACGGUCCAGACUCCUAAGGGAGGCAGCAGUGGGGAAUAUGGCACAAUGGGCGCAAGCAUGAUGCAGCCAUGCCGAGUGUAUGAAGAAGGCCUUCGGGUUGUAAAGUACUUUCAGCGGGGAGGAAGGGAGUAAAGUUAAUACCUUUGCUCAUUGACGUUACCCGCAGAAGAAGCACCGGCUAACUCCGUG